UUUGUUCUGUGAAGACACACAGGUAGUAGAGAGAACUGGGACAGAAGCCUCCAGCCAACAAUGUGAGCAAGACUGGAAGCAGGGCUGCAGCUGACUGCAAUCCUGAACAGCUUUUAUGCAGACACAGGUCAGAACCACCCAACAGAUGUUGCCCCUGGAUUCCUGAUCCUCAUAAACUGAUAUGAUGCCUGGGUCUGCAGCAGCCACUUUGUGACUAUGAGGAAAGACAUUGCUGAUGUUAUGGCAACGUAAAAGUUUAUAUUUACCAUGAUGUUUAUUUGAUGACACCGUGAACAAAAUGUGCAAAAUGAGGCCCUACCAUGUUUUAAAAAAUGUUUUCAUCAAAUGGAUCUCAGAGGGACAUGCCCAAAACUCCUGCUACCAGAGUGAUCCUCUCUUCAUCUCUUUUCUCUAGCCAAUAAAUCAAAGUUUCAUUUCUCAUUUUGCAAUAGGAAUUUGUAUUAGGCAACCAUCUGUAGCAUCUAUUUGGGUUAUAUCUAAAGCUUAAGGGCUACAUCCUCUCCCAACCCCAAUAUGUGAGUACUUGAUGCCCGAAUCAUGGUCCUUCAAUGGAAGAACACUUGUCAAAUCCUAUUUAAACAGAUCUAAAUUAAAAAAAUAUUUUUUUUCUAAAAAUAUUAUUUGGCCUUCAUUUGGGAAUCUCACACAUCUAAGACCUUAGAUUUAAAGUAUCUUUAGAACUCUAACCACAUUGGAGUGUAGACUCCAUUACAGCAGGAAUCCUUGCCUCUUUUGCUUAAUAUUGCAUCAUAGCAUCUUAUCAGAAUGAUACAUAAUAGAUGGGGGAAGAUCUAGAAUAAACAAACCCCCGAAUAAAAAUAGAAACAAAUGUUGAACAAAUCAAUUAUAAAAUCUGCUUUUAUCUUUUUCAUAAAAAUAUUUAUAAAAUUAUACAUCUGCUUUACUUUCCCUUUAGAUUCUCCAUUUGAUAAUCAUUUUGGAAAGAUCAAAAACAAAGUCAUAACACAAACACACAUUUUGUGUAUCAUUUUCCUCUUGUUUUCUUUUGCAAAACCAUGCUGAGGAGGACAGUGGUGUAUCUGUAUCGUCUUAUGGAAAGUAGUAACACAUCUAGCAAAUAACAGAGGUAAAUAUGCAUGAGAAGUGGGUAGAAUUGGAAACAGACAAUUUCAGGUCUAUAUUGUGCGUGAUUUCACAGGAUAGAAUUUUAUUUUAUAUUUUCUUCUUUUAAAAAAGUUCAUUCCAAGGUAGAUUAGAUUAGCCCUGGCUAAUAUUUUUAGCAUUUUAUGUUUGGUCACCUUAACAUCUCUAAAUCUUUCUUCCCUUUGUUACCUUACCCUACCAUUACCUAUCAUCUAAUGAGUUUGGCUAACCUGAAACUUCCUCAGUCUUUAACAAUACUAAUGAAUGCAAGUUAAUAAAUUAGGAAAUUGUGUUGGUUCAUUACAUUGUCUUAAUAUAAUUUUCAGUUUAUUUGUUAUUGAUUGAGCUCCUUAAUUUCAAGUUCAUUUUUCUGAGGUUUAUUGUUUCUAAUUUGAUUUACAGAUUCUCCAUGUCUUUGGCAUUAUUUCUUUCUGCUUUCUGCAACCUGUUUUUUGGUAAUUUCACUACUCAUUAGCCCCUCCCUCCAUCAGAGGGAUGGGCAGGAUGAGAAAAAUGAUAUGACAAUAUAGUAAAUUUUGCUACUUGCUAUUAUCUGAUAAAAUGGUGUUCAAGAAAGAAAUAAGUGUGUAACUGUUGACUAAAAUGACAUUUUGGGAAUUUUUUAAAAUAAUUUUUUAUUGUCCAUGAUCUAGCAACUGUUACCAUGAAAGACUGAGUUAGUUCUCUAUCUGCUAAAUUUAAUAAAUAAAGGUUUUUAAUCCAAAAAUUUGUUAUAAUUCUAAUCACAAUCACACCAAGCUCAUGAACUACAUUUCUAUAAAAAUGUUAUCAAUUAAAAAAAAUAAUGUUCAAGGAAUCAAGAGCUAAAAUGAAGCUCAAGGUGGAUUUUAAAAUGGAGAAUAAUAUAAAAUAGUGAACUGUUUUUGCCUCAUAGAUUUCAACCUCCUUAAAUACUUAGUGAUGUAAGAGUCAUAUAUAAAAUGUUAUCAGUCAUAUAAAUAUAUAUGAAGGAUUUUUAAAAGUGAAGAUUUAACUAUAAUAGUUACUUCAUAAUCAAUGAUGUAAUAGUCAAUGAUGUAGGAGAACAAAGAGCAUUGCAUAGCUCCAUAUGGACUUCAGAGCAUCAGUUUGUUUUUAAAAGGGGGCUACCUUAUAUACACAUGUUUAGUUUUCAGAGAUUAAAUAAAAUAAAAAUUAUCGCCAUUCUGAAUAGCAGACUAUUUUAGCAAUACAUGUGUUGGAAAGUAUAUUUUAUUUGGUAGAUCAACUUCAGAGAACUAAACUCUCCAGCAUAACCAGAGGGUUAGAUAAUAUAUUUACACCUGCAGUAUUUCAUUCUAUAAAUAAUCUAUAAUGUCAAAAACUAGCCUUGAUGGGGCAUUUACAUUUUAUGAAUAGCUAAAAUGUUACAGUGAACAUUUUCACAUUUUUAUGGCAUAGUAUAAACAAAAUAUGGGCUAAUACAUAAUUAUUUUUGAAGUUCAAGGAAAGGGAUAUAUAGAUAGAGUAUAGAGACACAAAAAUCAGAAAUACUAUUUUUAGCCAUUUUCACACAUCCUUUUACUUCAACCUGUUAAAUGAUUAAAAAGUGAAAUGAGCAUUUACGUAUUUCAAAGUGGGUAAACACGCUAAAUAAUAAUUCUUGAAAUGUUCACUCUUUCAAAAAAUAAUCUCUUCAAUCUUAUGGAAAAGUGGUCUAGUGUACUAUUUCAGUUGUUUUUAUUUUAUGUGACCAAAAAAAAUACGCUUUAGGGUUCAAUUACUGAUUCGUCCCACUUUCUUUUUGAACUAAGGGCACACUUACUAUCUCCAUAAACAGCUAAAAUGUUUACAGAGACCAGUAAAACCUAUGUCAGAUCGUAACACAUUUUUGUUCUUGGGAGGCUUUGGGCCUAAAUCCCACAUUCUCUAAUCAGAUAACUCAAUAAGAACAAAGAUGGAAAAGAUAUAAUCCUGCAUUUAGAUAUGUGAACAUCAAAAUUUUUAAAGCCAAAAGCAAUUGUGCACAUAUUCUUAAAAAAUUAUCUUAUUCCAAAAUAUUUGUUAUUUUUAAAACAAGACUAUCUGUAAUUCAGUUGAAGUAUCAUUUCAAAAUGAAACAAACAAUAAUGUGGGAAUUAUUAUAUGACUACUUAUUAGAAAAACCUCAGGAGAAACUUAGAAUAGUUAUUUAAGAAAUCCCUAGGUUCAAAAUGAAAUUCAACUUUUACAAUGUUGA
RNAcentral lists this long non-coding RNA (3304 nucleotides) under Homo sapiens (human). RNAcentral describes it as "HSALNT0160998". Lineage: Eukaryota; Metazoa; Chordata; Mammalia; Primates; Hominidae. The record is from RNAcentral.